UGGGGAAUAUUGCACAAUGGGGGAAACCCUGAUGCAGCGACGCCGCGUGAACGAAGAAGGUAUUCGUAUCGUAAAGUUCUGUCCUAUGGGAAGAUAAUGACAGUACCAUAGAAGAAAGCUCCGGCUAAAUACGUGCCAGCAGCCGCGGUAAUACGUAUGGAGCGAGCGUUGUCCGGAAUUAUUGGGCGUAAAGGGUACGCAGGCGGUUUAAUAAGUCGAAUGUUAAAGAUCGGGGCUCAACCCCGCAAAGCAUUGGAAACUGAUAAACUUGAGUAGUGGAGAGGAAAGUGGAAUUCCUAGUGUUGUGGUGAAAUACGUAGAUAUUAGGAGGAAUACCAGUAGCGAAGGCGACUUUCUGGACACAAACUGACGCUGAGGUACGAAAGCGUGGGGAGCAAACAGG
RNAcentral lists this ribosomal RNA (403 nucleotides) under bacterium. RNAcentral describes it as "partial 16S ribosomal RNA". It matches the Rfam family "Bacterial small subunit ribosomal RNA", at positions 355 to 776 of the family's 1533-position model. The record is from RNAcentral.